RNAcentral lists this ribosomal RNA (253 nucleotides) under uncultured bacterium. RNAcentral's name for it is "partial 16S ribosomal RNA". It matches the Rfam family "Bacterial small subunit ribosomal RNA", at positions 524 to 776 of the family's 1533-position model. The record is from RNAcentral.
UACAGAGGGUGCGAGCGUUGUUCGGAAUUAUUGGGCGUAAAGCGCGUGUAGGCGGCUAUUUAAGUCGGGUGUGAAAGCCCUCAGCUCAACUGAGGAAGUGCGCCCGAGACUGAAUGGCUUGAGUACCGGAGAGGGUGGCGGAAUUCCCCAAGUAGAGGUGAAAUUCGUAGAGAUGGGGAGGAACACCGGAGGCGAAGGCGGCCACCUGGACGGUAACUGACGCUGAGACGCGAAAGCGUGGGGAGCGAACAGG